GAUGAACGCUGGCGGCGUGCCUAAUACAUGCAAGUCGAGCGAAUGGAUUAAGAGCUUGCUCUUAUGAAGUUAGCGGCGGACGGGUGAGUAACACGUGGGUAACCUGCCCAUAAGACUGGGAUAACUCCGGGAAACCGGGGCUAAUACCGGAUAAUAUUUUGAACUGCAUGGUUCAAAAUUGAAAGGCGGCUUCGGCUGUCACUUAUGGAUGGACCCGCGUCGCAUUAGCUAGUUGGUGAGGUAACGGCUCACCAAGGCAACGAUGCGUAGCCGACCUGGGAGGGUGAUCGGCCACACUGGGACUGAGACAUGGCCCAGACUCCUACGGGAGGCAGCAGUAGGGAAUCUUCCGCAAUGGACGAAAGUCUGACGGAGCAACGCCGCGUGAGUGAUGAAGGCUUUCGGGUCGUAAAACUCUGUUGUUAGGGAAGAACAAGUGCUAGUUGAGUAAGCUGGCACCUUGACGGUACCUAACCAGAAAGCCACGGCUAACUACGUGCCAGCCGCCGCCGUAA
RNAcentral lists this ribosomal RNA (515 nucleotides) under uncultured bacterium. RNAcentral describes it as "partial 16S ribosomal RNA". It matches the Rfam family "Bacterial small subunit ribosomal RNA", at positions 28 to 523 of the family's 1533-position model. The record is from RNAcentral.